Molecule: ribosomal RNA, 96 nt
Filed under: Bromheadia finlaysoniana
Lineage: Eukaryota; Viridiplantae; Streptophyta; Magnoliopsida; Asparagales; Orchidaceae
Also listed under: 1 other name
Description: partial 18S ribosomal RNA
Rfam family: Eukaryotic small subunit ribosomal RNA
Source: RNAcentral
CCCGCGACACUGCGAGAAGUCCAUUGAACCUUAUCAUUUAGAGGAAGGAGAAGUCGUAACAAGGUUUCCGUAGGUGAACCUGCGGAAGGAUCAUUG